This 720-nucleotide unclassified non-coding RNA is filed under the name Hevea brasiliensis (rubber tree). Lineage: Eukaryota; Viridiplantae; Streptophyta; Magnoliopsida; Malpighiales; Euphorbiaceae. The record is from RNAcentral.
CUCUACUAGAUAAUGAGUGGUGGACAUCCUACACUAGUAAGUGCUUUAAUAUAUCUUGUGAUAUUAUCAAAAAUUCUACAAGUUGCUGCAAUUAGCCUGGUAUUACAGGCUCUUGAUUACGAAAUAAUUUUUUAUAUUAGAGUUAGGCUCUUGAUUUGUUUUAUGACAGGCUCGCAGGUUCAAUUCCUUCUAGUCUAGUUUAUUUAUCCAAUUUGAAAUCUCUAUCCUUUGCUCAUAAUGUUUUUAAUGGGUCUCUUCCGCAAGAGUUAGGCAUGCACAAAAAUUAACUUAGAUUGGAUAUUGGCAUAUGAACAACCUAAGAGGUUCAAUUCCCUCAUCCCUGGAACAAUUGACCAAUUUAACAGAAUCAUACCCUUGACUCAAAUCUUUUAGAAGGUCCGAUGCCAGGAUAACUGGGCAACUUGCAUGCAUUGACAUUAUUGCACCUUGCCAAUAACUGUGUCAGACACAAUACCAAUUGAAAUUGGAGGUCUCUUCAUGAUUGGAGAAUUGAACCUUUCCAAAAACAAAUUGGAUGGACCCAUUAUGGUAACCUUAAUUAGCAUGGUGUACACUUUAAAUCUCAGUCACAAAUUAAUUAUGUCUCUCGUCAGCUUAAAUUUUCAUUCUUUAAAUUCAAUGUUAGCAUUUCAUUUUUACCUGUUAUAAUAACCCAGAUAUGUCUCUGGAUUACAGUUGAUUACUUGAUUUCAUGGAACA